UACAGAGGGUGCGAGCGUUGUUCGGAAUCACUGGGCGUAAAGCGCGCGCAGGCGGGCGUGUAAGUCAGACGUGAAAUUCCGGGGCUCAACCCCGGAGCUGCUCCUGAUACUGCAGGUCUGGAGACCGGUAGAGGCUGGUGGAAUUCCCGGUGUAGCGGUGGAAUGCGUAGAGAUCGGGAAGAACACCCGUGGCGAAGGCGGCCAGCUGGGUCGGUUCUGACGCUGAGGCGCGAAAGCGUGGGGAGCAAACAGG
RNAcentral lists this ribosomal RNA (253 nucleotides) under uncultured bacterium. Its description in RNAcentral is "partial 16S ribosomal RNA". It matches the Rfam family "Bacterial small subunit ribosomal RNA", at positions 524 to 776 of the family's 1533-position model. The record is from RNAcentral.